This 403-nucleotide ribosomal RNA is filed under the name uncultured bacterium. RNAcentral's name for it is "partial 16S ribosomal RNA". It matches the Rfam family "Bacterial small subunit ribosomal RNA", at positions 28 to 526 of the family's 1533-position model. The record is from RNAcentral.
GACGAACGCUGGCGGCGUGCCUAAUACAUGCAAGUCGAACGCAGUGGGGACGGGUGAGUAACACGUGGGUAACCUCCCAUCAGAGGGGAUAAAACUUGGAAAAAGGUGCUAAACCGAUAUUGAUGGCUGGACCCGCGGUGCAUUAGCUAGUUGGUGAGGUAACGGCUCACAAAGGCCACGAUGCAUAGGCGACCUGAUAGGGUGAUGGGCCACACUGGGACUGAGACACUGCCCAGACGCCUACGUGACGCAGCAGUAGGGAAGCUUCGGCAAUUGACGAAAGUCUGACCGAGCAACGCCGCGUGAGUGAAUAAGGUUUUCGGAUCUUAAAACUCUGUUGUUAGAGAAGCGGUAUCUAACCAGAAAGCCACGGCUAACUACGUGCCAGCAGCCGCGGUAAUUC